Long non-coding RNA from Xenopus tropicalis (tropical clawed frog), 1636 nucleotides. RefSeq lists it as uncharacterized. The record is from RefSeq and is a predicted model, not a curated record. Lineage: Eukaryota; Metazoa; Chordata; Amphibia; Anura; Pipidae. The transcript has 2 exons.
UAAUUCGGAGCUUUCUGGAUAAUGGGUUUCCGGAUAAGGGAUCCCAUACCUGUAUAUUUACAAAGCAGUAGCUCUGUGAGCUAGUAACUAUGUUUUUAGACAAAGUGUACAUCAGCCAUGUUCUCUGUAGGUGGUGACUCACAAUCUCCGCCGGCAAGUAAACUGGAAAUCACAUGUUUCUGAGGUGUGUUAUGCAAACCCAUCUGUCAAGAAGUGUCUUAGGGACUCCUUCACUGAUAUUCACAUUUAUUGUAUUUAUACGUUUCAUGUAAAUAUGGCAUUGCUUCCUCUGUGCUGAUUGCAUAACUAGGCAAAUAGCCAAGGCACAGCUAAGCAACUUUUGUUAAUGUUAUACUAUAACUCCCAACUUCCUCCACCCGAACCCACCACUGACAUCAUGAACGGGGCAGGGCCUGCCACCAACGUCGACAAGGUGAAGGGUUUGUUGGAAAAUGACAGCUGCAACGAAGAGAAGGUGGCAGGUCUAGACAUACCAGCAGCUGGUCCCAUGGGUAUCCAAUGCAUCAGUAGUAGGGGUCUUUUCAUUUGUGGCCUACAUUUUGGACUAAUUGCAUGCAUUUAAAAAGCCUCUCUGGUUAGUGGUUGUAAAGAAAUGAGCCUUGAAGGUCACUACCCCUGACUUAUUGUAGCCUAAAGUGGUUUGAGAUUCCUGGGCCUACAUAAUUAAGAGAUAACUGCCUCAAGUUUUUACUGAGUUUAAAGUUAUUUGUUAACAUCAUUUCUUUUCAGCAGUUUGUUUUUUUUUCUGCACUGCUGGUUCUGACUCUUGAUGUCAUGUAACAGAAGCUGUCUCUCAUCCAAAGGUGAUUUCAGUUUGCCUUGUGUCUCGCAUGAUUCUUCACAGAUCUUAAAAAGCUUCCGCAUCAUUGUUUAAAGAGACACAACCAGCAGUGCAGUGAAAAAAACAAGGCAGACCAGUACUACUUUAAAUACCUAAACAUAGUAAUCACAGUUAAAUAUACACUUCACAUUUUAUGUUCAUUUUCUGUUAAUUUGAAGACUAAAAUAAUGCUGUGUAUAAUUUUUGUGACUUUAGAGAAUGACCCAGUUUUAUGAAAAUUAUGCAUUCAAUUAAUGUACAGAGUUGUUUUUUUUUUCUCUUUAGUUCUGUUUCCUUUUUCUCCCUCGCCACAUGUAGUGUCACAGCUUCUGACUUCAGUUACUAGGACACCUGUUUGCCUUAGUUAGAAGCCUGCAGUUUUGUGUGAUUUUUGGCAGCUCUGCUCCAUUGCAGAAAGGGUUAUUGGUGCCCAUAACAAUCAGGCAGUUAUCUAAAUGACAGAGAGGAAGAUGAACAGGAGAGAGACUAAACAAACUAAUAAGCCAAGAAGCAACAUCAACAAAAGCUCAACUCUGCUGUUUGUGAUUAACUAGACUGCAUUUUAAGCUGUAAAGAGGAACAAUUGGUUACUAAACCCCUGAACAAGAAGAACAAUUGCAGAUUGUAUGAUAUUAUUAUAUAUUAAUUUUUUUGGUGAACUUCCCAUUUAAGCCAAGUGUUGAAAACACUGAUAAUGGGGAAUUCGCUCUCUUCCAGUAAGCAGUUCAGCAGCAGCUUUUAUUGGACUACUGCUACUAUAAUAAUGUAAGCAAAAUUAAAGGGAUUCUUUCAUGA